AUGGAAGGGAGGUGCGACGCCGCCGCGUUGCCGUCGGAGCCUGUGAUGGUGAGGCUCAUCGGCUGCUUCGGCAGCCCGGUCGUCCACCGCGCCGAGCUGGCCCUGCGCCUCAAGGGCGUCCCCUACGAGCUCAUCGAGGAGGACCUCAACAACAAGAGCGAGCUGCUGCUGACGCACAACCCCGUCCACAAGACCGUCCCCGUGCUCCUCCACGGCGACCGCUCCAUACCGGAGUCGCUCGUCAUCGUCGAGUACGUCGACGAGGCCUUCCCCGCCGGCCCGCCGCUGCUCCCAUCCGACCCCCUCGCACGCGCCAACGCCCGCUUCUGGGCAAGAUUUCUCGAAGAGGAGUUCAAGAAGCCCUUGUGGAUUGCGCUGUGGACGGACGGCGAGGCGCAGGCAGCGGCGGCGAGGGAGACGAAGGCGAACCUGACGCUGCUGGAGGCGCAGCUGCCGGAGGGGAAGAGGUUCUUCGGCGGCGACUCCAUCGGCUUCCUCGACAUCGCCGUCGGCGGGGCGCUCGCGCACUGGAUGGGUGUGGUCGAGGAGAUGGCCGGCGUGCGGCUGCUCACCGAAGAGGACCACCCGGCGCUGUGCCGCUGGGCGAGGGCGUACAGGGCCGACGAGACCGUGCGGCAGUGCCUCCCGGACAGGGACCGCGUGCUCGCCGCCUUGGCGGCCAGGAAGGACCUCUACGUCUCCAUUGCCAAGGCCAUGGCUGCACAGAAGUAG
RNAcentral lists this ribosomal RNA (732 nucleotides) under Triticum aestivum (bread wheat). RNAcentral describes it as "partial small subunit ribosomal RNA". Lineage: Eukaryota; Viridiplantae; Streptophyta; Magnoliopsida; Poales; Poaceae. The record is from RNAcentral.